RNAcentral lists this ribosomal RNA (253 nucleotides) under uncultured bacterium. Its description in RNAcentral is "partial 16S ribosomal RNA". It matches the Rfam family "Bacterial small subunit ribosomal RNA", at positions 524 to 776 of the family's 1533-position model. The record is from RNAcentral.
UACGGAGGGGGCGAGCGUUGUCCGAAGUUACUGGGCGUAAAGCGCGCGUAGGCGGGUUGGUAAGUCCGCUGUGAAAGCCCGGAGCUCAACUCCGGAGGGUCGGUGGAUACUGCCAGUCUUGAAGGUGCUAGGGGGAGAUGGAAUUACCGGUGUAGCGGUGAAAUGCGUAGAGAUCGGUAGGAACACCAGUGGCGAAGGCGGUCUCCUGGGGCAUUCUUGACGCUGAGGCGCGAAAGCUGGGGGAGCGAACGGG